CAGACAAUCACGAACUACAAAAGGAAAACCAGCCACGUCACCGAGACCGAUGUCUUUCUUCGGAACAGGCUAAACAAAUUCUUUGCACGCUUUGAAGAUAACACAGUGCCACCGACGUGGUCUGCUACCAAGGACUGUGGGCUCUCGCUCUCCUUCUCCACGAGUAAAACAUUUAAACGUGUUAACCCUCGCAAGACUGCUGGGCCCAGACGGCAUCCCUAGCAGUGUCUUCAGAGCAUGCUCAAACCAGCUGGCUGGUGUGUUUACGGGCAUAUUCAAUCUCUCCCUAUCCCAGUCUGCUGUCCCCACAUGCUUCAAGAUGGCCACCAUUGUUCCUGUACCCAAGAAGGCAAAGAUCCACAGACAAUGCAAUCGCCAUCAGUCUGCACAAUGCCCUAUCCCAUCUGGAGAAGAGGAAUACCUGCGUAAGAAUGCUGUACAUUGACGACAGCUCAGCAUUCAACACCAUAGUACCCUCCAAGCUCAUCAUUAAGCUCGAGGCCCUGGGUCUGAACCCCGCCCUCUGCAACUGGGUCCUGGACUUCCUGAUGGGCCGUCCCCAGGUGGUGAAGGUAGGAAACAUCACCUCCACUCCGCAGAUCCUCAACACUGUGGCCCCACAACGGUGCGUGCUCAGCCCCCUCCCCCCUACUCCCUGUUCACCCAUGACUGCAUGGCCAAGCACGCCUCCAACUCAAUCAUCAAGUUUGCAGACAACACAACAGUAGUAGGCUUGAUUACCAACAAUGACGAGACAGCCUACAGGGAGGAGGUGAGGGCUCUGGGAGUGUGGUGCCUGGAAAACAACCUCUCACUCAACGUCAACAAAACAAAGGAGAUGAUCGUAGACUUCAGGAAACAGCACAGGGUGCACCCCUUAUCCACAUCAACGGGACCGCAGUGGAGAAAGUGGAAAGCUUCAAGUUCCUCGGUGUACACAUCACUGACAAACUGAAAUGGACCACCAACACAGACAGUGUGGUGAAGAAGGCGCAACAGAGCCUCUUCCACCUCAGGAGGCUAAAGAAAUGUGGCUUGUCACCUAAAACCCUCACAAAUUUUUACAGAUGCACAAUUGAAAGCAUCCUGUUGGGCUGUAUCACCGCCCGGUACAGCAACUGCACCGCCCGGUACAGCAACUGCACCGCCCGGUACAGCAAGGCUCUCCAGAGGGUGGUGCGUUCUGCCCAAUGCAUUACUGGGGGGAAACUAUCCGCCCUCCAGGAAACCUACAGCACCCGAUGUCACAGGAAGGCCAAAAAGAUCAUCAAAGACAUCAUCCACCCGAGCCACUGCCUGUUCACCCCGCUAUUAUCCAGAAGGUGAAGUCAGUACAGGUGCAUCAAAGCUGGGACCGAGAGAAGCAGUUUUUCUUUCUAUCUCAAAGCCAUUAGACUGCCAAAGAGACAUCACUAGCACAUUAGAGGCUACUGCCUAUAGGCAUAGCCUAGGAAUCACUGGCCACUUUAAGGAAUGGAACACUAGUCACUUUAAUAAUGUUUACAUAUCUGUCAUUACUCACCUUAUAUGUAUAUACUGUAUUCUAUGCUAUCUUAGUCACUUAAUGUUUACAUAUCUGGCAUAACUCACCUCGUGUGUGUGUGUGUAUAUAAUGUUUUCUAUACUAUUCUACAGUAUCUUAGUCCGUUCCGCUCUGAUGUCAAUAGUCCAUAUGUAUAUAGUCUAAAUACAUUCCUACUUGUAUAUUUUGUGUCAUUCGAUUGGUCAAAUUCCAGUAGGGCCCUCCCCUUUCGGUUCCUAGUGAAUACACCCAAGCCUUGUUGCUAUAAGGCUGUUUUAUGUGCAUCAAAACCAGAGGGAAAGAUUUGAAAUCCUCUGCAGAAGGCAAAGAUAUUAUUACUUGUUAGUGCAGUAAUAUCUAUCGGAGCUAGAAGCACAAGCAUUUCGCUACACGCGCAAUAACAUCUGCUAAGCACGUGUGUGACAAAUAAAAUGUGAUUUGA
Long non-coding RNA from Oncorhynchus tshawytscha (Chinook salmon), 1964 nucleotides. NCBI's taxonomy places the organism in Eukaryota, Metazoa, Chordata, Actinopteri, Salmoniformes, Salmonidae. The record is from Ensembl.